AUAACUUAUGUGAACUAUAGAUUAUUUUGAAUUGAGUAUCCAACCUUUCAAAUGUUUGAUUUUAUCGUCUGACAUUUCAAUUUGUUUGAUUUAAUUUAGUCAACGAUAUUUUGACUUUAAACUUUAAAUGCGCGCAAUAUUUAUCUUUACAUAUUUAGUCAGUAUACUUCACAUAAUUUUCAUAACUAUAAAUUUAUUAAAAUAAGUAAUUAGCUUAAAAUUUAAAAUUAAAGUAUCGUUAUAUGGUUCAAAUUAAGUAAAUUAAAAAAUCAGAUAAAAAAUUAAAAUUUUUAAAAAUUAAGUAACUGAAUCAAAAUAAUCCAC
RNAcentral lists this long non-coding RNA (324 nucleotides) under Ananas comosus (pineapple). Its description in RNAcentral is "long non-coding RNA (ACOM_LNC018939)". Lineage: Eukaryota; Viridiplantae; Streptophyta; Magnoliopsida; Poales; Bromeliaceae. The record is from RNAcentral.